This 85-nucleotide transfer RNA is filed under the name Syntrophorhabdaceae bacterium. Its description in RNAcentral is "tRNA-Leu". It matches the Rfam family "tRNA". From Rfam's summary of the family: Transfer RNA (tRNA) molecules are approximately 80 nucleotides in length. Their secondary structure includes four short double-helical elements and three loops (D, anti-codon, and T loops). The record is from RNAcentral. Lineage: Bacteria; Pseudomonadati; Thermodesulfobacteriota; Syntrophorhabdia; Syntrophorhabdales; Syntrophorhabdaceae. RNAcentral also lists the same sequence under 1 other name.
GCCGAAGUGGCGGAAUUGGUAGACGCGCUAGAUUCAGGAUCUAGUAGGCAAUACGCCUGUGUGGGUUCGAGUCCCGUCUUCGGCA